RNAcentral lists this ribosomal RNA (399 nucleotides) under uncultured Polynucleobacter sp. Its description in RNAcentral is "bacterial SSU rRNA". It matches the Rfam family "Bacterial small subunit ribosomal RNA", at positions 1 to 403 of the family's 1533-position model. Lineage: Bacteria; Pseudomonadati; Pseudomonadota; Betaproteobacteria; Burkholderiales; Burkholderiaceae. The record is from RNAcentral.
AGCUGAGUUUGAUCCUGGCUCAGAUUGAACGCUGGCGGCAUGCCUUACACAUGCAAGUCGAACGGCAGCACGGGUGCUUGCACCUGGUGGCGAGUGGCGAACGGGUGAGUAAUACAUCGGAACGUACCUUAUCGUGGGGGAUAACGCAGCGAAAGUUGCGCUAAUACCGCAUACGCCCUGAGGGGGAAAGCGGGGGACCGUAAGGCCUCGCGCGAUUAGAGCGGCCGAUGUCUGAUUAGCUUGUUGGUGAGGUAAAACGCUCACCAAGGCGAUGAUCAGUAGCUGGUCUGAGAGGACAAUCAGCCACACUGGGACUGAGACACGGCCCAGACUCCUACGGGAGCAGCAGUGGGGGAAUUUUGGACAAUGGAGAAACUCUGACCCCAGCGACGCCGCGUG